GGUAAUCUGCCCUCUGGAAGGGGACAACCACUCGAAAGGGUGGCUAAUACCGUAUAAGUCGGUCGGGUCUGCGGACUUGAUCGGGAAAGCAGGCUUCGGCUUGCACCAGAGGAGGAGCCCGCGUCGCAUCAGCUAGUUGGUGGGUAACGGCCUACCAAGGCUAAGACGCGUAGCUGGUCUGAGAGGAUGAUCAGCCACACUGGGACUGAGACACGGCCCAGACUCCUACGGGAGGCAGCAGUGGGGAAUAUUGGACAAUGGGCGCAAGCCUGAUCCAGCCAUGCCGCGUGAGUGAUGAAGGCCCUCGGGUCGUAAAGCUCUGUGGGAGGCCACGAAACCACGCUGGCUAAUAUCCAGCGUGCUGACGGUAGCCUCUUAGCAAGCACCGGCUAACUCCGUGCCAGCAGCCGCGGUAA
RNAcentral lists this ribosomal RNA (416 nucleotides) under uncultured delta proteobacterium. RNAcentral's name for it is "bacterial SSU rRNA". It matches the Rfam family "Bacterial small subunit ribosomal RNA", at positions 120 to 523 of the family's 1533-position model. The record is from RNAcentral. Lineage: Bacteria; Deltaproteobacteria.